UACAGAGGUGGCAAGCGUUGUUCGGAAUUACUGGGCGUAAAGAGCUCGUAGGUGGUUUGUCGCGUUGUUCGUGAAAACUCACAGCUUAACUGUGGGCGUGCGGGCGAUACGGGCAGACUUGAGUACUGCAGGGGAGACUGGAAUUCCUGGUGUAGCGGUGGAAUGCGCAGAUAUCAGGAGGAACACCGGUGGCGAAGGCGGGUCUCUGGGCAGUAACUGACGCUGAGGAGCGAAAGCGUGGGGAGCGAACAGG
Molecule: ribosomal RNA, 253 nt
Filed under: uncultured bacterium
Lineage: Bacteria
Description: partial 16S ribosomal RNA
Rfam family: Bacterial small subunit ribosomal RNA
Source: RNAcentral